UCUAUAGUUUUUUUGGAAAAACUUCAAAAACCCCCCUGUAGUUUCGCACUUUUUUAUUUGCGUACCAUAUGGUUUAAAGUGUAUCAAGUUAGUACCGUAUGGUUUCACACUUUCUCACUUUAGUACCCUGUGGUUUAAAGUGUAUCAAAUUAGUACUCUGUGGUUUUAUUUUUGUAUCAAGUUAGUACUCUGUGAUUUUAUUUUUGUCAAAUUAGUAUUCUGUGAUUUUAUUUUUCUCGUAAUGCAAUAUUAAACCACAGGGUACUAACGUGAGAAAGUGUGAAAUCACAGGGUACUAACUUGAUACACUUUAAACCACAGGGUGCUAAAGUGAGAAACUACGAAACCACAUGGUACUAACUUGACACACUUUAAACCACAUGGUACUAAAGUGAGAAAGAGUGAAACCACAAGGGGAGUAUUUGAAGUUUUUCCUAUUUUAGUUAAUUUUCUCUAUGAUCUUUUCCACAUCAUCUAUUUUGUUUGUCUAAUUCUUGCUUCGCUCUUUUGUUACUUGGGAAUUCUUUCUCCUUAAUUCUGUCAAGUAUUGCAGACUUUAUG
This 561-nucleotide long non-coding RNA is filed under the name Ananas comosus (pineapple). Its description in RNAcentral is "long non-coding RNA (ACOM_LNC039456)". Lineage: Eukaryota; Viridiplantae; Streptophyta; Magnoliopsida; Poales; Bromeliaceae. The record is from RNAcentral.